GGAAGUAAACUUGUUAAUGGUUCUUUGCCUUUUGGGGAGGGGAGAUAGCCCCGAGAAGGCUUCGGAGACCCUUGAGUCGGCCGGCGAGCAGGGUUUCGUACUUGAGCGCCUCCACAAAUAAACGCUCCUUCGCUCUUCCGUCGCGUGCGUUUCCCUGGGAUAAUAAGUGGGAAAGUAGUGGCUUUUAUUUUUUUGAGACAGGGCUCACCGCCGUCGCCCAGGCUGGAUGGAGUGCAAUGGCGCGAUCACGGCUCACUGCAGCCUCGACUUCACAGGCGCAGAGAUGGGUUUCACCAUGUUUCCCAGCCUUGUGUCAAACUCCUGACCUCAAGUGAUCCGCCGUCUUGGGUCUUCGAAAGUGCUGGGACUGCAGGAAUGAGCCACCGCAUCUGGCCCGGAAAGUGUUUUGGAGGGUAGAAAACUGCAAAUUAUAGGACUGCCUUCAAGGAUCCCGAAGGACCCACAGAUUUGCCGCAUCGGGCUCCUAUGCGCGCCGAGAUGCCCAGGAGGAUUGAGGAGAUUGAGGUCAAGAUUGUGGCCCAGUGUGUUAAGCUCCAAGCCAGCUCUUCCCCUUUCAAAACCAGAAAAGCCGCAUGUUUAGACUGCUCUAGGAGAUUCAUCUCCAUUACAAUACAGGAUAUGGGCUGUUUGAAAACUAUUUCAUCAUCUUUAUCAUCAUCAUUCAGUUCAGCCACUUCAGAUUUUCGCCUCUCCAAAAAUGUUGGUGUACAAACUGGUGUGGGGCCCUGGAUUCAACAAGUAAAGAUUAUAAUACAUAAAUGUAAAACACGAUUAUGACUUUACCCAAAAAUAUCGUCUCUCCUCUAUUUUUACAAGUUGUGCCCCAUUAUUUUAGCUCUGUUACCAUCUUUUGGUGAUACUAUUGCAAAGAAUAAAGAACUCAGAUGCUUAUCAAACUUAGUACAGAAAUUCACAAUUAACAAAUAUAGCAUGUUCCAUUAUAAGGUUUUAGGCAGAAAACUGCUAAAUCAACAAUAAAGAUCUACCAAAUGUCACAAUAUUUAAUUUGAAAUCUUAAAAUGAGAGUAGCAGAAACUGCUUUUCCUCCUUCAAAUUAUUUCUGUAAUAUCUGGUGUCUGGAGUAUUGAAAACCAUUUUACCUGGCUAUCCACAGUCUUCUCAGGAGUGUCAAGAGUACCUGAAACUUUUUUCUUCUUCUUACGUAAAACCUUAAAAUAAAUUUUAAAAGACAUCAAUUUGAAUAUUGAUCAGCUAUAGUAGUCUUGAAUAUGUUUUCCUACUUAUCCUUCUCUAAUAUCUUGCAUGGAAAAUGAUAAAAAACAUUUUACCUGGC
Molecule: non-coding RNA, 1315 nt
Filed under: Pongo abelii (Sumatran orangutan)
Lineage: Eukaryota; Metazoa; Chordata; Mammalia; Primates; Hominidae
Source: RNAcentral